Long non-coding RNA from Rhineura floridana, 602 nucleotides. RefSeq lists it as uncharacterized. The transcript has 3 exons. Lineage: Eukaryota; Metazoa; Chordata; Lepidosauria; Squamata; Rhineuridae. The record is from RefSeq and is a predicted model, not a curated record.
UAACCCUUAAAGAGCGCCCUGGCAGAAGCUCCUCGGCUGCUUCUCAGGGAGAGCAAGGGAAGGUGGGGCUUUUUGUGUUGACUUUCUCACUCUGCUACAAACCUCCUGCAGUCGGAAGUGACUGAGUCCAGCCAGAAACACAUUGCCUGCCUAAUGUGUUCCUUCUGUCAUUCUCCUGUUACUGUGGUGAACGCCGACAGUGCACUCCGAAGACCUGUGAACAUCCCGAAAAGAAAAUCAGGUUGAAUGCUCGUGGUCGUAUUACAAGCCCAUAAACAAAUCGGAACAAAUGCUCAAUAAAGAUAUGAGAGUGGCUAAUUCUACUGCUUCCUAUGAUGAUGAUGGACUGCCUUCAAGUCGAUUCCGACUUACGGCAACCCUAUGAAUAGGGUUUUCAUGAAAAUGUAACUUUGGAUCCAGACACAGCCCAGCUUGUCUCAUCCUGUCUGAGGAUCAUAUAAGUGUGAGAUGGGGAGAAAAACGUCUAGCUGUGCCCAACAAUGCUGAGAGAGUUGACACCCACCCGUGUGCUGUGAUGUGAAGGGUUCACAGCAGGCAGACAUUUCUGGGAAGUUGUUUUGGGGAGUGAGGGGUAAUGGGCU